GCCCAUUAGCUAGUUGGCGGGGUAAAGGCCCACCAAGGCUACGAUGGGUAGCUGGUCUGAGAGGAUGAUCAGCCACACUGGGACUGAGACACGGCCCAGACUCCUACGGGAGGCAGCAGUGGGGAAUCUUGCGCAAUGGGCGAAAGCCUGACGCAGCAACGCCGCGUGCGGGAGGAAGGCCUUCGGGUUGUAAACCGCUUUCAGGGGAGACGAAGCUUCCAGGGUGAAUAGCCCUGUGGAGUGACGGUAUCUUCAGAAGAAGUCCCGGCUAACUACGUGCCAGCAGCCGCGGUGAUACGUAGGGGACAAGCGUUGUCCGGAAUUAUUGGGCGUAAAGCGCGUGUAGGCGGCCAAGUAAGUCUUGCGUGAAAUCCUGAGGCUCAACCUCAGGCCUGCGCGGGAUACUGCUUGGCUAGAGUCCGGAAGAGGAGAGUGGAAUUCCUGGUGUAGCGGUGGAAUGCGCAGAUAUCAGGAGGAACAUCCGUGGCGAAGGCGGCUCUCUGGGACGGUACUGACGCUGAGACGCGAAAGCGUGGGGAGCGAACAGGAUUAGAU
This 555-nucleotide ribosomal RNA is filed under the name uncultured microorganism. Its description in RNAcentral is "bacterial SSU rRNA". It matches the Rfam family "Bacterial small subunit ribosomal RNA", at positions 236 to 783 of the family's 1533-position model. The record is from RNAcentral.